Molecule: ribosomal RNA, 253 nt
Filed under: uncultured bacterium
Lineage: Bacteria
Description: partial 16S ribosomal RNA
Rfam family: Bacterial small subunit ribosomal RNA
Source: RNAcentral
UACAGAGGGUGCGAGCGUUAAUCGGAAUUACUGGGCGUAAAGCGUGCGUAGACGGCUAUCUAAGUCGGGUGUGAAAGCCCCGGGCUCAACCUGGGAAUUGCAUUCGAGACUGAAUAGCUAGGGUGCGGUAGAGGGAAGCGGAAUUUCCGGUGUAGCGGUGAAAUCCGUAGAUAUUGGAAAGAACACCGGCCGCGAAGGCGAUUCACUGGCUCAUUACUGACGCUCAGGGACGAAAGCCAGGGGAGCAAACGGG